This 391-nucleotide ribosomal RNA is filed under the name uncultured eukaryote. RNAcentral's name for it is "partial small subunit ribosomal RNA". It matches the Rfam family "Eukaryotic small subunit ribosomal RNA", at positions 587 to 972 of the family's 1831-position model. The record is from RNAcentral.
AGCUCCAAUAGCGUAUAUUAAUGCUGUUGCGGUUAAAAAGCUCGUAGUUGGAUCUCGGUUGGGUGUGUUCGGUUGGCUGAUUGGCUUUACUGAAUCUGCAUCCAUCUGUUUUUGUGUGGUGUCGAUCGCGGGUGCUCUUAACCGAGUGUCCGCGUGUCGUCCACGUGUUUACUUUGAAAAAAUUAGAGUGCUCAAAGCAGGCCUCGUUGCGCUUGAAUAUUCGUGCAUGGAAUAAUGGAAUAGGACGUCGUUUCUAUUUUGUUGGUUUUCGGAAAUCGACGUAAUGAUUAAUAGGGACAGUCGGGGGCAUUAGUAUUCAGACGACAGAGGUGAAAUUCUUGGACCGUCUGAAGACUGCCAACUGCGAAAGCAUUUGCCAAGAAUGUUUUCA